This 1831-nucleotide long non-coding RNA is filed under the name Olea europaea subsp. europaea. Lineage: Eukaryota; Viridiplantae; Streptophyta; Magnoliopsida; Lamiales; Oleaceae. The record is from RNAcentral.
AUUUUUUGUGUAACUUUUUUUUUUUUUUUUUCGAUUUUGUUGCGAUAUAAUUACCCUAUGUCGUUAUUCGUUCCAUCUGUAGGUGAAAAUUGGCAUGGGCAUCUUCGUUUAUGUUGAUCUAAGGCAUGUCGUUCUUUUGUGUGUAUAUAUAUGAAAAUUUACAUGGGCCCCUCUUCUUUUACCUCAAUCUACCCGCUAAGCUUUAGUUUUUGCUCCAUUUUUGUUCUGAUGUGUUCGUUUUUCAUUGGGUAUUUGCUUAUUUUGUAAUGUUUCUACUCGAUAUUUGCUCUAUUGUGAUCGUUUUGGGGUCGAUAUUUGCUUUUCUUGUAAUGGUUCUACGAGGAUUGAAAGAGAUUCCCGCGGGGUUUGCCUGUUGUGGGAGUUUGAACAAUUUGUUUGGUGUUUUGUGUACUUCAAUUUUUUGAUGAUCGAAGAAUAAAAAAUUGAUGUAGCUUACAUUGGGUUCCGUCUCCUGAGGCAAAAAAGAAUUGUUUCCACUGAAGUUAUGUUUAUUACAUAUAGAUAUAGAUGACUAAAUGGGAAGUUCUAUUUUCUCUCUGAGUAUGCUUGCUUUCAUUUAUUUUUCGCUGAUCUGUUUAAACGUAUAUAUUCAGCUGACGGUUUGUGUUUAGUAUGCCUCUGCUUGGUAUUUUGGUGGUCCAUGUCAAUUGUGAAGCUGCAGUGAAUGCAAACGAGAGGGAGGGAACUUUCCAUAAAUGUUUUUAAGAUAGGAUGUUCUCAUUUCAUGAUUUUUCGAUGAGACAAUCAUAAAAUCAUUCGAUAAAAUGGAAUAUAUCUAUUCAGUUUGUUUGUGCCCUUCAUACAUUUUGGGAAGAACAAUUAAGAGUCUUUGGCAUGCAUAUUGAAUGUGUUAAAGAAAGUGGAGAGGAUUGUGCUUCUAUCCUAUUGAUAUUAUUCUCCACUACACAGGGUAUUAUCCUUAUUUUUCCCAUAUUGUCUUUCAUUUUUCAAGAUGUAAAAUUAUAUUUCGCAAAUUCUUACAGGUUCAACUAUGAUUUUCCAUUCCUAGAAACAAAAGAUGUUCCUUCUGAAAAUGAUGUUCCUCGAUAUUAAAAAGUAUUACCAGCAUAUGGAGGCCAAAUACCAAACUUAGAUCUAUGUGCAAUAAUUUUUCCUUAGAUUUUUCCCUCAUUCCUGUUUUCUCAUAUUCUCGAAUCUUUGUUCAAUAGUUUGUUUCUGAAAUGUGGCUUAGCUGGUCUUUUCACUUGAAACUAGUGUUGGUUCAUUCGUUGAUAUUGUGCAAGGUUUAACUGCUAUCCAUCUCUGAGAUUUUUUCCUCUUCAAUAUAUUUCAAUAAAAAGGUAAGAAUUCUAUUCUUUUGUAGAAAUUCACCUUCCUUUAGUAAUUUCCAAUUAGAUUCCCCAUGGUAAUCAUUGGUUGUUGUUGAUGUACUAAACUUAUUCGGUCAUUUUAUCUUUACUUCUAACACAAACCGUAGUAGUAUACUUUUUCGAUUCUCUUUAGCAUAAAGAGUUAGAACUCAUCUAUUAUUUUUUUAACAUCUAAUUUUUCAUUUCUAUACGAUUUCCUGAUUUCUAUUCUUAAAAAUUAUGAACUCUAUCGUCAAUAUUCAAUUAAUCAAUCUUUUCCUUGAUUUGUUUCGUUUAUUCUAAGGUUUGAUGUUAGGCCUGCAUAAAUGAGGCAUUGUAUCAAUUAUGUUCCAAGUGUGAAAUCGAAUGGAAAAAUGUUCUUCAGGGUUUGGUUCCUACAAUUUUUGAACAUUUUCUUAGUUAAAAUAACUAAAUUGAAACCUCCUUAAUAUUCGAAUAUUUGUCUAAAUCUUUGCUAUUCAUGGUGACCCAUUCUAAAC